GGAAUAAAACACUUAUCCCCCAGGAAUAACUCAGCCAAAAAGAAGGAAUCACUUUUAUUCCUUAUGACAACAAAAUAAGACUUUUUUCAUUCCGAUAUAAUGCUCCAUUCCGUUACAUUUCUAAUUAGUGUAUACCAAAUGCUACUACCAUGUUAAUCUCUGCAAAUAGUUGAGAAAUAAUCGUCUCCACCCCCAAAUAGAAAAGGCCCAUUAGAGCGUCCUAGGUUGGUAAGAGGCCCAUAUGAUGGGUUAUUAGGAAAUUCCAAAUAGCACACUCCGUAAGGGGGCAAGACACAUUAGGUAUUUUUUAAUGUUCGAUUGAGUUAAAUCAUUUUACACGUUUGCUUGGAUCAUGCAUUGCACAAUGCACAAUUCAAGCACGGCUAAAUACCAAACACAAUGGCAGAACACAUAUAAAAGAAACAUAAAAAUAUAGCACCAUAUUCAACAAUGCAAACAUAUGGAGAUCAUAUCAAACGUAUAUAACAUUAAAUAUAACUCAAUGCGAGCAAAGAUGAACAUCCCCAAAGUUCAUUUCUUUAAAUUUACUUUUUACAAUUACAAUAGUUCAAAACAAAUAACAAAAACUAAUCUACAACUAGAAAAUUUCUUAGAUAUACUUAACAUACAAAAACUUGAAAUCAUAGUAUCGUAGUUCUUAUCCAACAUGAUGUUAGAGCUAUUUAUAUCACCAUGCAUGACUUUUUGUUGCGAUAACAAAGGAUUAUGACGGCAUGCUAACCCACACACAACACCAAUGUCUAUCUGGAAGCAUCAGACUCACUCUCACGUGACACUAGCACAACACAUAUUUUUGGAUGCACAAGUCUCAUGUAGAGCCGAUGUCUCAAGAUAUGCAAUGGUGUUGCUUGUGGGCUAUACUACCUUCAUAAUCCUUUGUAAUCGUUGAAAAAAAGUCAUACAUCGUGACAUAAAGAGCUCCAACAUCUUGUUGGAUGAGAAUCAAGAAACCAAGAUUUUUGGGUUUUGUAGAUAUCAAAAAUAGUUUAUGGUAAGUACAUACUCAUUAAACUCAUCAAAUGAAAUCUUAAAAUGGACAAAAUGCCGUUAUGGUCUUCAAUUGAAAAUCCAACCUUUAAGACCUCCAAGGUAACUGAAAAAAACAUAAUCUCAACAUUAAUUCCAAACUUACUAACCAAUCAGAUGGUAUAAAACAUACCAUGAGUUUUAAAAUCUUUAAGAUCGACAACUGGUACUGACUUUGCAAAGUGUUUAACAAUAAUCUCUACCAUAAAAAUGGUAGAAAAAGAGCUAAAGGAAUAAAAACUAGUGUUAACAGAUUUAACAAUUUGUAAGCAAAUCUAAUGCUCGAUCUAUAAAAUUCAAACAAUUGUCUUUAUGUGAUUCAUAUUUGUACACAACAUCGAUAUCAAAGUUCGAUAAUUUUUAUGAUAUGUAACUAGCAAAAUAGAGAAUCAAACUAAAUUUUUUAGGAAAUCUAGAUCUAAAGAAAUCGGCCAAAUGCUAUGUAAGAUAUCUUAGAAAACUUUUUAUUUAAUAAUCAGCUUAAUUGAAUACUAAAAAAAAUUAAGUGACUUGCAAAUAUAUAAUAGGCAAUAAACAACAUGAUGCAAUACAUGAUGUAAAACAUACCUAUACUUGCAACAUGAACACCAAUAGGGCCGAUGAGGGCAUUUCUUCGAUUGUGAAUACAAGAUUCAACACAUCGUGAGAAAUUCGGCGGAUGAUAGAAGUCUAGGGUUUGUUGAUUUAUGAUGGUCGUGAAAUUUUAGUUAGUCCCUCUC
Molecule: long non-coding RNA, 1766 nt
Filed under: Lactuca sativa (garden lettuce)
Lineage: Eukaryota; Viridiplantae; Streptophyta; Magnoliopsida; Asterales; Asteraceae
Description: long non-coding RNA (LSAT_LNC006256)
Source: RNAcentral